RNAcentral lists this ribosomal RNA (216 nucleotides) under Glomeromycotina sp. Its description in RNAcentral is "partial small subunit ribosomal RNA". The stretch from base 40 to 216 matches the Rfam family "Eukaryotic small subunit ribosomal RNA", at positions 686 to 864 of the family's 1831-position model. Lineage: Eukaryota; Fungi; Glomeromycota. The record is from RNAcentral.
GGGUCAGUAGGUUGGUCGUGCCACCGGUACGUACUGGUCUCACUGUUUCCUCCUUCCUGAAGAGCCGUAAUGCCAUUAAUAUGGUGUUGCGGGGAAACAGGACUGUUACUUUGAAAAAAUUAGAGUGUUUAAAGCAAGCUAACGCUUGAAUACAUUAGCAUGGAAUAAUGAAAUAGGACGAUCGAUCCUAUUUUGUUGGUUUCUAGGAUUGACGUA